UACGUAGGGCGCAAGCGUUGUCCGGAAUUAUUGGGCGUAAAGAGCUCGUAGGCGGUCUGUCGCGUCUGCCGUGAAAACCCGAGGCUUAACCUCGGGCUGGCGGUGGAUGACGGGCAGGACUAGAGGUAGGUAGGGGAGAAUGGAAUUCCUGGUGUAGCGGUGGAAUGCGCAGAUAUCGAGGAGGAACACCGGUGGCGAAGGCGGUUCUCUGGGCAUUACCUGACGCUGAGGAGCGAAAGUGUGGGGAGCGAACAGG
RNAcentral lists this ribosomal RNA (256 nucleotides) under uncultured bacterium. RNAcentral describes it as "partial 16S ribosomal RNA". It matches the Rfam family "Bacterial small subunit ribosomal RNA", at positions 524 to 776 of the family's 1533-position model. The record is from RNAcentral.